This 36-nucleotide small RNA is filed under the name Bombyx mori (domestic silkworm). Its description in RNAcentral is "ovarian small RNA-27195". Lineage: Eukaryota; Metazoa; Arthropoda; Insecta; Lepidoptera; Bombycidae. The record is from RNAcentral.
UCCCAUAACAAACAGCGUCUCUUUCCUGGAGGCGAA